Rhododendron vialii is the source of this 894-nucleotide long non-coding RNA. RefSeq lists it as uncharacterized. The record is from RefSeq and is a predicted model, not a curated record. The transcript has 2 exons. Lineage: Eukaryota; Viridiplantae; Streptophyta; Magnoliopsida; Ericales; Ericaceae.
ACCGUAAAUUAUUAAAUAAAUUCAUGAAUACUGUAGAGUCUCUUGUUUUUAUUUAUUCAUUUUUCUUUUAGUGAAUUACUUAUUAUGUGAUUAUGUGCGCUUAUAAUUAAUAGUGUUAUUAGUCACAUUUUUUUUUAGGAAUGCAUAUACACAUAUGUAGACAUUCACUUUGACAGUGUUCAAAUUCUUAGGCCUUUGACCGAGUCCGUUGGGAUCUAUAUAUGUUGUAUAGUGGGUGGUGUUAGAAACUUUUGGGACUAAUUAUUUAUUUAAUGGUUAGUUUUGGGGGUCUUUGUGUGAGGACUUAUAGCCUGGAGGUAGUAAAAUAGCAUCUUGACACUUGAGGGAGAAAUAGUGUAAUUGCUACACUUACACCCAUUUAACACCGGGGAUCAACAUUUCUUCGUUGAUUCCCUUUUUUUUUUUUUGGUCUUUUCCUUUUCCCGUCUCUCUCUUCUCCCUCUCGAAUGUUCUUCUCUCUCCCAUCUCCACACCUUCUCUCUACAAUUAAGGGACCAAACGGCAUUCCCGUGCAAAACUGAUCCCGAAUUCGUAAUCCUCACGGUAAGAGCUUCAAUUUCGGGCAAAAUUGGGUUUUUGUCUCCAUUGAGGUGGAAAUGACUACCCGAAGGCUUGAGAGAGCUUCAUGGUCUUCUACAUGGGAAUGUUCAUCUCAAUUAUGUAAAGCUUUUUAGGCAGGGACUAGAAUUUCUUUUUGUAUAUUGUAAAGUUUGUAAGCCUAGUUAAUAAAGCUAAUUGGGACCCGUACUUAUUCUGGCAUGUAAUUAGCCACCAUAAACCUUUAUUUCCGCACUGGUGAUGUAAAAAGUAUGUUGGGGUUGGUGGAUGGAAAAUUUUGCAAAACUAUGAUGAUAUUGAACAUCUUUAGACUCU